Molecule: ribosomal RNA, 236 nt
Filed under: uncultured bacterium
Lineage: Bacteria
Description: partial 16S ribosomal RNA
Rfam family: Bacterial small subunit ribosomal RNA
Source: RNAcentral
UGAGGAACAUGACCUUCGGCGGGGGAUAGCCGGCCCAACGGCCGGGUAAUACCGCGUACGACCUUUUGGGGACAUCCCCGAUUGGUGAAAGCAGCAAUGCGCCGAAAGAGUGCCUCGCGGCCUAUCAGCUAGUUGGUGGGGUAAUGGCUCACCAAGGCGACGACGGGUAGCUGGUCUGAGGGGACGACCAGCCACACUGGAACUGAGAUACGGUCCAGACUCCUACGGGAGGCAGC